AGCAACAGGCUACUUCCUGGAUGACCUGACGGGGCAGUACCAUUUUGAUUCUGGGAGGGGUUGGACGCUUCUAUUGAUUCCAUGCUGACAAAUAUGGAUAUUGAAAAGUGUGGUAUGACUUGCUGUGGUGGUGUAUUAAUCGAUUAAGUUUCAAUGGUUAAUGUGUGCGUUGAGAUAUGAAAUAAUGUCUUUUACUGCCACCAUGUGGUCACAGCUAGCUUCGCAUGGGGAUGAUUUCAAAUGAAGGCUUUCACAGUCGCAAAAAUAAUCCCUUAACUCGGUGUUUUUCAACCUUUUUUAAGCCACGGGGCAGCAGUGAGUUACAUUCCUGCUCGUUGAAUUCUUGUCAUGGUGGUUCAAUUCCUGACUGACACAACAGAAAAAAAGAAUGAACCAAAUCACUUCUCCUCGCUCGCCGCCCACCAGCCUCCGACCGCGGCCUACAUUCCUCAGAGAGAGAAACCCGGUCCGGAUGGUGUUGUCAAGACAACUGCACACCAACCACAGACUCCACUUUGGUCAGCUUCAUUAGAGA
Doryrhamphus excisus (bluestripe pipefish) is the source of this 535-nucleotide non-coding RNA. NCBI's taxonomy places the organism in Eukaryota, Metazoa, Chordata, Actinopteri, Syngnathiformes, Syngnathidae. The record is from RefSeq and is a predicted model, not a curated record.